UUGACCUCGAAUCAGGUGGGACUACCCGCUGAACUUAAGCAUAUCAAUAAGCGGAGGAAAAGAAACUAACAAGGAUUCCCCUAGUAACGGCGAGUGAAGCGGGAGAAGCUCAAAUUUAAAAUCUGGCAGUCCUCGAUUGUCCGAGUUGUAAUCUAGAGAAGCGUUUUCCGCGCUGGACUGUGUACAAGUUUCCUGGAUACGGAACAUCAUAGAGGGUGAGAAUCCCGUCCUUGACACAGACUCCCAGUGCU
RNAcentral lists this ribosomal RNA (251 nucleotides) under Clavulinaceae sp. D44. RNAcentral's name for it is "partial 28S ribosomal RNA". It matches the Rfam family "Eukaryotic large subunit ribosomal RNA", at positions 1 to 243 of the family's 3401-position model. The record is from RNAcentral. Lineage: Eukaryota; Fungi; Basidiomycota; Agaricomycetes; Cantharellales; Hydnaceae.